AAGUCGUAACAAGGUUUCCGUAGGUGAACCUGCGGAAGGAUCAUUAAAAAUAAGACGAGGUCAAUUGAUAAGUCUGGCUUCUCGCCGGACGUACGGUAAAAGUCCGUAGCCUCAUUUUGGUUUUACCAAAACUCUUCUGUGUACCUAUUACUUGUUGCUUCCCUGGGGUAACUCAGGGAAGGCAUACAUAUACUCUGUUUAUUGUAGUCAGUCUGAAUUUGUUUAUUUAUAAACGUUAAAACUUUCAACAACGGAUCUCUUGGUUCUC
Molecule: unclassified non-coding RNA, 268 nt
Filed under: Geopyxis carbonaria
Lineage: Eukaryota; Fungi; Ascomycota; Pezizomycetes; Pezizales; Tarzettaceae
Description: partial internal transcribed spacer region
Rfam family: Eukaryotic small subunit ribosomal RNA (bases 1-46)
Source: RNAcentral